CUACGGGUCGCUGCAGUGGGGAAUAUUGCACAAUGGAGGAAACUCUGAUGCAGCAACGCCGCGUGGAGGAUGACACUUUUCGGAGCGUAAACUCCUUUUAUAUAGGAAGAAGAUGACGGUACUAUAUGAAUAAGCGCCGGCUAACUCCGUGCCAGCAGCCGCGGUAAUACGGAGGGUGCAAGCGUUAAUCGGAAUCACUGGGCGUAAAGAGCGUGUAGGCGGAUUAAAAAGUCAGAAGUGAAAUCCUAUAGCUUAACUAUAGAACUGCUUCUGAAACUCUUAAUCUAGAAUAUGGGAGAGGUAGAUGGAAUUUCUGGUGUAGGGGUAAAAUCCGUAGAGAUCAGAAGGAAUACCGAUUGCGAAGGCGAUCUACUAGAACAUUAUUGACGCUGAGACGCGAAAGCGUGGGGAGCAAACAGGAUUAGAUACCCCUGUAGUC
This 439-nucleotide ribosomal RNA is filed under the name uncultured bacterium. RNAcentral describes it as "partial 16S ribosomal RNA". It matches the Rfam family "Bacterial small subunit ribosomal RNA", at positions 339 to 795 of the family's 1533-position model. The record is from RNAcentral.